CGCUAAGAAGCUAAACAGGGAACAGCAUUAGCCUUUUAAGCUAAAGAGAGGUGGCCCCCAAUCACCCUUAGCGA
Molecule: transfer RNA, 74 nt
Filed under: Laetacara thayeri
Lineage: Eukaryota; Metazoa; Chordata; Actinopteri; Cichliformes; Cichlidae
Description: tRNA-Lys
Rfam family: tRNA
About the family: Transfer RNA (tRNA) molecules are approximately 80 nucleotides in length. Their secondary structure includes four short double-helical elements and three loops (D, anti-codon, and T loops).
Source: RNAcentral